This 497-nucleotide ribosomal RNA is filed under the name uncultured bacterium. RNAcentral describes it as "partial 16S ribosomal RNA". It matches the Rfam family "Bacterial small subunit ribosomal RNA", at positions 28 to 507 of the family's 1533-position model. The record is from RNAcentral.
GAUGAACGCUGGCGGCGUGCCUAAUACAUGCAAGUCGAGCGAACAGAUAAGGAGCUUGCUCCUUUGACGUUAGCGGCGGACGGGUGAGUAACACGUGGGUAACCUACCUAUAAGACUGGAAUAACUCCGGGAAACCGGGGCUAAUGCCGGAUAACAUUUAGAACCGCAUGGUUCUAAAGUGAAAGAUGGUUUUGCUAUCACUUAUAGAUGGACCCGCGCCGUAUUAGCUAGUUGGUAAGGUAACGGCUUACCAAGGCGACGAUACGUAGCCGACCUGAGAGGGUGAUCGGCCACACUGGAACUGAGACACGGUCCAGACUCCUACGGGAGGCAGCAGUAGGGAAUAUUGCGCAAUGGGCGAAAGCCUGACGGAGCAACGCCGCGUGAGUGAUGAAGGUCUUCGGAUCGUAAAACUCUGUUAUUAGGGAAGAACAAAUGUGGAAGUAACUGUGCACGUCUUGACGGUACCUAAUCAGAAAGCCACGGCUAACUACGUG